CCGGAGUCACGUGGUCGCGCCACCGCGCGAUUACUAGCUGUCAAAAGAGUCCUCAGAAGUGUCCUGAGCGGUCGCAGGGUAAUGACGUCGGCCGUAUCGGGGAUGCUGGAACCUGCGGUUGAGUGAGAAACCGGCGCCACCGCCUGCGUCUUGGUCUCGGGCUGGUGGCCAGCGGGGUCUGGGCGUGGUUUUACCCAGCUCCUUUGCGAAGCUGCUGUCCUUUCCUCAACGUUACCACCCGGCUGGGCAGCCUACCCUCGCAGCAACAGGUGUGCACCUUCCAAGCUUGCAACAGACCACAUUCAGAAGCUUGAUUUCUUGUUGUUCUGGGAAUAUCUGGAUCAGAGACCUUGCUGUCACCACUACUCCGGGACCUGGAAGUUAAAGCGAGGGAGAGACGGUGAAACACAGAAAGCAGAACGCCUUCUGUUCUUCCACAACACAGGGUUUGUGGACGUGGCCACUAUAAGAACUCGCACUGCGUGCUGAUUAUACUCCUCAGCACAAUUCAUUUCUUAAACUUUUUAGAAUAAUUUAAAAUUUACAAAAAGUUGCAAAAAUAAAAACCAG
Molecule: long non-coding RNA, 570 nt
Filed under: Homo sapiens (human)
Lineage: Eukaryota; Metazoa; Chordata; Mammalia; Primates; Hominidae
Description: non-protein coding LINC01431:1
Source: RNAcentral